CUGACUGUCCAGGAUAUUCAAAUUCUCUUUUUAUAUACAAAUCAGGUACAGCAGAGGUGUUGCCAAUGUCAGGUGUCACCAGCAGUACCUCACAAACAUCUCUCAACCCUGACCUGCAGGGACUGCCCAGAGGGCUGAGAGAACAUUAUCACCUGCACAACCUGUUCAAGUUUUCAGCUUCC
This is an unclassified non-coding RNA of Coturnix japonica (Japanese quail), 182 nucleotides long. The record is from Ensembl. NCBI's taxonomy places the organism in Eukaryota, Metazoa, Chordata, Aves, Galliformes, Phasianidae.